Long non-coding RNA from Equus caballus (horse), 3126 nucleotides. NCBI's taxonomy places the organism in Eukaryota, Metazoa, Chordata, Mammalia, Perissodactyla, Equidae. The record is from Ensembl.
CCAAGGACCAAUCCGCUCAGGCUCUAAUUCAGUUUAAUUCCAAGAUGCAGUGCAGGUUGCUCAUUGGGUCUACAGGGCAAUAAUUCAGUAUUUUGCAAUCCUUUGGAGUCACAGAUCUUGCUGCAGCAGAUUUGGCUUCAGAUUCAUCCAAGUGGUUAUGUUCCUCUCAUAAACCAGUGGACAUAAAGUCUGUGCAUCACAGACACAUGGCACCGGCUGGAUCAGUCUAGUUCUAAGAACUUACAAGUGCUGGAGGCAGGAAGUUUGAAAUCAAGGUGCUGGCAGGGUCAUGCUCCCUCUGAAAGCUUGAAGGAAGAAUCAAGAAGGUGUUCUUGGAAGCUAAACCUUCAACAGAAGGGCUAAGAGGUAAAGUCGAGGAAAUUUUCCAGAUGCAAAAUGCAAGGAUGAAGAGAUUAAAAAGAUAAGAGAAAACAUAAGAGAUCUAAAGGAAUACUCCAAGAGGGCAACACCUAACUAACAGUUUCAGAGAUAGAAAAUGGAGAGAAGGACAUCAUCAAAGAAAAAAAGGGAGCUAUUUUAGAAAGAGAUCUAUUUUCUGGUUUAACAUGACAGAGAAAAUGCCUGAAUUUACGGCUGCUCCCUUGCAAAGCUUCAGUAAAAUGACAACGAGGAAUAAAUCUGUAAGGAUGAAGAGAACGGAAGGAGGUAUUGAAGCAAUCCAUUUGGAAGCUGGGAGGCAGAUGGAUGAGUGGUAACUGCUAAUUGACGCAAGAAAGCUGAAGCCUACGCUAGCUCUGAAAAAAUCCAGAAACCAAAGAACCCUAAAAAGACCCAGGAGUAGGAAGCACCAGUUAACUCUGAACAAAGGGAUUAGGUGAGGCUCAAAAGAGGAAGACAGGUUGAAAAUCUAUACAAGAAGUAGGUAGACCUUCCAGGAUCCCCUACCUCACCUGUGCAUCCAGGUGACCAUCACCCUCCUUUCCUAGCAGACCAGAGAUUUCUCUUUAAGAAGCUGAACCAUAGAGACUCUAGACUCAGGGACACUGGGCACCAGGAAGGUAAGGUACCAACACUGAAAAAGGGGAGGUCUGCAGAACAUCUAUAUACUGAAGGCUGAGACCUCCCAGUUUCCUUACUUUCCUCUAUUGGAAGAACACUGGCAGCCAAGAUGAUACAACAAAUGCAGGAGAAAGAGGAUUUCUUCUCCAGGGACUCUGAGCAGACAAGAAGAUACGAUCUCCAGAUACUGACAAUUGGGGUUUCCCCAAUAAAAUAGCUCAACUAGGCCACCCAUUAUGAAUCCUAGGUUUUGCAAACUCUUUCAGAUUUUUAAGGCCUCCCUCUUAAACUUGAGAAAGUCAGCAAGGAUCAUUCAACAUGUGAGGAAAGCCCGUAACAGGAAAGCAGAGACCAAGACAAGCGGAAGCAGAAAGAAAAUCAAACCUGGAAGAAAGAGAAACAAUGCAGUGAGCAGAAUAAAGCUGAAAAAACUAAUAAUUGAAAUCUCAGAAAUAAAUCUAUCCAUCAAACAAGAUUAUUAGAUAUCUGUUUCAGCUGAUGAUAGCGUAAUAGGAACCAGAUUCAUCCUCCCUCCUGAAACAACUAAAAAUCUGAACAAAUAGAUGAAACUGACCUUCAGACAUUAGAAAUCAGGCAGCAUGGGGGAUUGACAACUGAGAGAGGGGAAACAAAAGCAGUGAGCCCUCAGAUUGCCCCAGGGUACUGCCUAGAGAGAGUUGCCAAGUCACAGCAGUGAGAGAAGAACUCAUAUGGAGCCUGGUGGCCUCUCUGAGUUCAGGAGACAGAGCUGGGGGUCUGGCAAGGCCAAAGUAGCUGGAGUUCACAGGGCAGAUACUGGAGAAGAGAGAACUGCACAGAUAGCUUUGGAGAUCUGCAAACACCCCCAGUAGUCUUCAGCUGAGCACUGAUAAGUGCAUAUACGUGAGGAAAUGACCUGAGGCUGGGCAAAGAACUAGCUCAAAAGGGCAAAGGGGACAACAACUCUGAAACUUACUCAGGGAUAAGAAUAGUUCAUAUUGUCCCCAGCUAGAUUGUCACCAGACCAUUCCUCAUGAUUCAUAGGGAAGUGGGUAGAGUACUCAAAAGGGUGUUGCCUUAAUGAUGGGGCAAAAUAGCCUGAGAAUAAAGGUUGCUCUGGUGCAGCCUAGCAAAGCUUAAAGCAAGUCUCAAAAAUAUCAAACUGUUUACAAGUAAGUUGACUGCAUGUAAGAAUAUUUACACCAAUACAAAAACAUCCAUUAGCCAAUAAGGUAAAAUUCACAAGGUCUGGAAUAAAGUAAAUCUUGAUCAAGAGUGCAAAGAAAUAGGACCCAUAAUGAAGAGAAAAAUCUGUAUAAACAGGCCCAGAGAUGACCAGAAUGAUAGAAUUAGACAACAGUUAUUAUAACCAUAUUCUAUAAGUUCAAGGAGGUAGAGAAAAGAUGUAACAUGUUAAGUAGAGAUAUGGGAGACAUAAAAGAGAACCAAAUCAAAAUUCUAGAGGUGAAAAAUAUGCUGCAUGGGAUUAACAGAAUAUUAGGCACUGAAGAAGAUGAACUUGAGAACAUGACCAAAGGAAUUAUCUAAAUAAAAUACAGAGAGAAAAAAAGACAGAAAAAAACCUGAACAGGGCAGCAGUGAACUGCAGGACAACUUGAAGUGGCCUAUUAUAUGUGUAAUUGGAAUCCCAGCAAGAGAAGACAGCAGAGUCGGGUGGGGGUGGGAGACAAAAAAAAAAUAUUUGAAGAAAUAAUGGCCAAAAUUUCCCCAAUCUGAUGAAAAUGAUAAACCCACAAAUCUAAGAAAUUCAGUAAACCCCAAGUAUAAGAAAAAUAAAGAAAACUACACCAAGCCACACCAUAAUCAAAUUGUUUAAAAUCAGAGAUAAAGAGAAAAUCUUAAGAGCAGACAGAAAAAGAUACAUUGCAUUUAGAUAAAAGUGAUAAAGACUUCUUGUUGGAAACAAGCAAGCCAGAAGACUUUGGAGCAACAUAUUUAAGUACUGAAAGGAAAAAAAUAGUCAGACUAGAAUUCUACACCUGGUGAAAAUAUACUUCAGAGACAAAAGCAAAAUAAGGACUUUUUUGGACAUAUCAAAACAGAAAGAAUGUAGCACCAGGAGACACAAACUAUAAGAAGUGUUUAAAGAGGUCACAGAGAUGGAAG